CGAGGGCCAGACAGUCCACAAAUACCUAUCAGGCGAUAGGCAUUUAAUCUGUAAUUGAAGGUAAACAAAAUUGGAGUCCAGUUUAGGCGGAAAGAAAAACGUCUUACAAAACUCCAAACGACCAAAUGUGCCUCUGAGACCGUGUGUGAGCGCCUGCCGG
This 160-nucleotide long non-coding RNA is filed under the name Chinchilla lanigera (long-tailed chinchilla). RNAcentral describes it as "Deleted in lymphocytic leukemia 1 conserved region 1 (ENSCLAG00000018706.1)". It matches the Rfam family "Deleted in lymphocytic leukemia 1 conserved region 1". Lineage: Eukaryota; Metazoa; Chordata; Mammalia; Rodentia; Chinchillidae. The record is from RNAcentral.